UGGGGAAUCUUGGACAAUGGGGGCAACCCUGAUCCAGCCAUGCCGCGUGAGUGAUGAAGGCCUUAGGGUCGUAAAGCUCUUUCGCCUGUGAAGAUAAUGACGGUAGCAGGUAAAGAAACCCCGGCUAACUCCGUGCCAGCAGCCGCGGUAAUACGGAGGGGGUUAGCGUUGUUCGGAAUUACUGGGCGUAAAGCGCACGUAGGCGGACCAGAAAGUUGGGGGUGAAAUCCCGGGGGCUCAACCCCGGAACUGCCUCCAAAACUAUUGGUCUAGAGUUCGAGAGAGGUGAGUGGAAUUCCAAGUGUAGAGGUGAAAUUCGUAGAUAUUUGGAGGAACACCAGUGGCGAAGGCGGCUCACUGGCUCGAUACUGACGCUGAGGUGCGAAAGUGUGGGGAGCAAACAGGAUUAGAUACCCU
This 417-nucleotide ribosomal RNA is filed under the name uncultured bacterium. Its description in RNAcentral is "bacterial SSU rRNA". It matches the Rfam family "Bacterial small subunit ribosomal RNA", at positions 355 to 788 of the family's 1533-position model. The record is from RNAcentral.